Equus caballus (horse) is the source of this 2400-nucleotide long non-coding RNA. RefSeq lists it as uncharacterized. NCBI's taxonomy places the organism in Eukaryota, Metazoa, Chordata, Mammalia, Perissodactyla, Equidae. The record is from RefSeq and is a predicted model, not a curated record.
AAAAAAAGAAAAGGUUAUGUAGCCACGUAGUCUAGUGAAUCAAAUUCAUAAAUUAAAAUACAGCAGUGAUACAAUAUUUAUAUACCACCCAGAUGGUAAGUAGACUCAGAAAUUAUUAAUAUUUUACUACAUACAGAAAAUUCAGCAAAACACUAACCAUACCACCCAUUUGGAAGCCAGAACCUAAUUUUUUUGUCUUGUCACCUGUGAUCUAUAAAUGUUCACAAUUUAAAGUGAUAACAAAUACUUAAAAUAUAACUUUUUCCUGGCAUGCUGUGCAAUGAAGGGUUCUAAAAGCAGAAUCACACACUUACUGUUCUAAAUUAAAAUCAGCUGAAUCCAGGUAGUAACUCAAAACAUUUCACAUUGAGUCAGGAGAUUUAGGAGAUGUGAAGGUUAUGUAUUUCUGGAUUUCACAGUAUUAGAAACUGCAAAUGCAUGGCUUCAAAUAGUGGCAAACUGAAGCAGAUAUAUUCUUUCUGGGUACUCUCUAGCACCUUUGGUAAAUUUAAAUUUGGCUUUAGACAAUUUUUAAAUAGGGUGUAAAGAGAUCAUUUUGGCUGUCACCUUAUACGUGAAUGGAUUUCCUUAACAUUUAGCAGUAGAAGUGAAUUAAUCUGAAAUCUUUUUAGUAAUCAGAGUUUUCAAGGUAUGACCUAUUUUCUAGCUAAGCCUGUCACUCCAGUCUUUUUGAGAAAUGAAAAAGCAAAAUUCCUAAGCAAAAGCAGAAUAUAAGAAGUCUUUCUCGGGGCCGGCUCCGUGGCUGAGUGGGUAAAUUUGCACGCUCCGCUUUGGUGGCCCAGGGUUUUGCCAGUUCAGAUCCUGGACAUGGACAUGGCACUGCUCAUUAGGCCAUGAUGAGAUGGCGUCUCACAUACCACAAUUAGAAGGACCCACAACUAAAAUAUACAAGUAUGUACUGGGGGGACUUGGGGAGAAAAAGGGGGGGGGGACUGGCAAGAGUUGUCACCUCGGGUGCCAGUCUUAAAAAAAAGUCUUUCUCCUUUCAGAAGAGUGCAGUAUCACCUGAAGAAACCAUCUUUAGUCCAAAGGGGAAGAGACUCCUCUAAGCCAUCUCUCAAAUUUCCAAUAGGAUAAACCAAGACUACAGCAGCACAAUGGCUGCCACUGGCUUUGGCUGCUGCAACUAUGGUCUUUGACACAAGGUGUUGGCAGGCAAUUCACACAUUCUGGGGACCAGGCAACAAACUGGCCUGUGGGGUUAGAGAGCUUUUCUGGCCGCUUCCAUUUCUAGUGAUAAACGGGAAAAGAAAGUUAGCUCCACUGAGCAUUUAUCUUGGGUUACAAGACAAAACCUAAUUUAACUAAUCUGACAGGUUGGUUUUUGUUUUGUUUUAAAUACUUGCCACCUUAGGAUCACAUCUCCUUCCAGCAAGGGAGUGGCUGCUUCACUACCUUAGAGCUUGCCAAGACUGGACAUGAUGCACAAAAAAGAACCUCUUGAAAUGCAGGCACACUUGUUUCUCUAACUUCUGUGUCAGAAUUUAGAUAUAGUCACUCCAUACUUUGUGGAUAAAAAUGUUCUUGGGAAAAAAGGACCAAGUAAUUAAGUUGACAAGUUCUUUCUUUGAGCCAAUAAUGAUAGCUUCCUGGUCAAUCACUCCACUUUCUCCUUAAGACAGUGCCUUGAAAAUAUUAACUUCGACAGUCACAGUAAUGACGCCCUUCCUGAGUGAGCUGCUGCUCCUUGUUAAUUAUUGUUCAUUAAUGGGUAAGCUGCUCAACCACAAAGGCUGCCAGUAGGUGCCUAGAGAUGACUUAGAAAGUUGAGAUUGUUUGCUAAUAUAUUUGUAUUUGAAUCCCCCUCUUUCAAAAGAAAAAUUAUACACUGCAACUGUUUGACAAAUACCACCUGUGAGACCAAUGCUCAUUUCUUUCCUCAGACCAAAAAAAUGAGUUGGACAGACUGCAGAGAUGUACUUGCCUCAAAACUGCAGAAGAGCCGUAAGGACCCAACUGGGGUAAGGCACGGGCUUUACCUAUGUGUCUGAAGAUAGAAAUGAAAGAGGCCAGCAGCCUUCUACUCUACAGGCAUACCUCGGAGAUACUGCGGGUUCCAUUCCAGACCAUCACAAGAAAGCAAGCAUCGCAAUAAAGUGAGGCAAGUCACACUCAUGUUUUGGUUUCUCAGUGCAUAUAAAAGUUAUGUUUACACUACACUGAAGUCUAUUAAGCAUGCAACAGCAUCUCUAAAAAUAAUAGCAAUGUACACACCUUAAUUGAAAAAUACUUUAUUGCUAAAAAUGCUAACCAUCAUCUGAGCCUUCAGUGAGUCAUCUUUUUGCUGGUGGAGGGUCUUGCCUCAAUGUUGAUGGCUGCUGACUGAUCAGCGUGGUGGUUGCUAAAGGCUGGGGUGGCUGCGGCAACUUCUUAAAAUAA